AGUGAACGCUGGCGGCGGGCCUAACACAUGCAAGUCGAACGGCAACACGGUAAGCUUUUUCGUUUACGGGUGGCGAGUGGCGGAGGGGUGAGAAAUAGAUAGGAAUCUACUUUUUCUUGGGGGAUAACGUAGGGAAAGUGACGCUAAUACCGCAUAUGACCUACGGGUGGAAGCAGGGGUUAUUCGGAGCUUUCGCGUCGGUUUGAGCUGAUGUCGGAUUAGCGAGUUGGCGGGGUAAAGGCCCACCAAGGCGACGCUGCGUAGCUGGUCUGAGAGGAUGAUCAGCCACACUGGAACUGAGACACGGUCCAGACUCCUACGGGAGGCAGCAGUGGGGAAUAUUGGACAAUGGGCGAAAGCCUGCUCCAGCCAUGCCGCGUGGGUGAAGAAGGCCUUCGGAUUGUAAAGCCCUUUUGUUGGGAAAGAAAAACAGCAGGUUAAUAUCUGGCUGUUUUGACGGUACCUAAAUAAUAAGCACCGGCUAACUACGUG
Molecule: ribosomal RNA, 492 nt
Filed under: uncultured bacterium
Lineage: Bacteria
Description: partial 16S ribosomal RNA
Rfam family: Bacterial small subunit ribosomal RNA
Source: RNAcentral